GCCCGGAUAGCUCAGUCGGUGGAUCAUCAGACUUUUAAUCUGAGGGUCCAGGGUUCAAGUCCCUGUUCGGGCG
This is a non-coding RNA of Danio rerio (zebrafish), 73 nucleotides long. The record is from Rfam. NCBI's taxonomy places the organism in Eukaryota, Metazoa, Chordata, Actinopteri, Cypriniformes, Danionidae.